Molecule: unclassified non-coding RNA, 357 nt
Filed under: fungal sp.
Lineage: Eukaryota; Fungi
Description: partial internal transcribed spacer region
Rfam family: Eukaryotic small subunit ribosomal RNA (bases 1-46)
Source: RNAcentral
AAGUCGUAACAAGGUUUCCGUAGGUGAACCUGCGGAAGGAUCAUCAACAAAUCUAAUUUUUUUAGUAUGGUUCUCCAUACUAAUAACCAAUGUGAAUUGGAAUAAUAAAAAUAAUAAUAAUAAUAAUAAUAUUAUUAUUAUUAUUUUAUUAUUCUUUUUAAUAAUUAGUAGUUAGUAGUAGUAGUAGUUAGUAAGUGUUGUUGGUAUGAGUGGUGUAUAUGUGUGUAUAUACUCUCUUUCCUCUUCUCUUCUUCUUUCUCUUCUUCUUCCUACUAUAUUAUAAUAAACGAGUAUUUUAGAGUCUGUUAAAAUAAUUAAAUUUUUAAACAACUUUUAACAAUGGAUCUCUUGGCUCUU